GGAGAGGUGGGUGAGUGGCUUAAACCAAUAGUUUGCUAAACUAUCGUACGGGAAACCGUACCGGGGGUUCGAAUCCCCCCUUCUCCG
This 87-nucleotide transfer RNA is filed under the name Deltaproteobacteria bacterium. Its description in RNAcentral is "tRNA-Ser". It matches the Rfam family "tRNA". Rfam says of the family: Transfer RNA (tRNA) molecules are approximately 80 nucleotides in length. Their secondary structure includes four short double-helical elements and three loops (D, anti-codon, and T loops). Further hydrogen bonds mediate the characteristic L-shaped molecular structure. tRNAs have two regions of fundamental functional importance: the anti-codon, which is responsible for specific mRNA codon recognition, and the 3' end, to which the tRNAs corresponding amino acid is attached (by aminoacyl-tRNA synthetases). tRNAs cope with the degeneracy of the genetic code in two manners: having more than one tRNA (with a specific anti-codon) for a particular amino acid; and 'wobble' base-pairing, i.e. permitting non-standard base-pairing at the 3rd anti-codon position. The record is from RNAcentral. RNAcentral also lists the same sequence under 1 other name. Lineage: Bacteria; Pseudomonadati; Myxococcota; Myxococcia.